RNAcentral lists this ribosomal RNA (400 nucleotides) under phytoplankton environmental sample. Its description in RNAcentral is "partial small subunit ribosomal RNA". It matches the Rfam family "Eukaryotic small subunit ribosomal RNA", at positions 587 to 970 of the family's 1831-position model. The record is from RNAcentral.
AGCUCCAAUAGUGUAUAUUAAAGUUGUUGCAGUUAAAAAGCUCGUAGUUGGAUUUCGGAAUGCUGCAGAUCGAGGUCCAUCGUUAAGAUGCUAGUACCGGAUCUGCGCUUCCUUCUUUUCGAACACGUGCCGUUCAUCCUCCAGUUAGGAUGGUCGGAAUAACACGUCUCGGAUCAUUUACUUUGAAAAAAUUAGAGUGUUCAAAGCAGGCGUAAUAUUGGCCUUGAAUACAUUAGCAUGGGAUAAUGGAAAAGGACUUUGGUCUUAUUUUCGUUGGUUUCUGAGGCUGAGGUAAUGAUUAAUAGGGACAGUUGGGGUCACCAGUAUUUAAUUGUCAGAGGUGAAAUUCUAAGAUUUAUUAAAGACUAACUACUGCGAAAGCAUUUGACAAGGAUGUUUU